AGUCAACAAUUCCAAAAUGUCUCAAAGAGAACUAGCACAAGCACUAAAGGACCAGCUCUUGACCUAUAGUCUCCUCUAAAACAAAAUCGCUUGCAUUGCCAGGAGAGUGAUGUAGUAGAGCACCUCUCAAUAUCCAAUAGCUUUAGGGGACCGCCUUCAGCUAGAAAGGAAAGGCUUUAAACCCAAGAAUAUCGACGUCACUGCAAUGCUUAAAUCCUUAAUUCCCACCAAGUAGCGACAGCUUCUAAACCUAGGA
RNAcentral lists this unclassified non-coding RNA (256 nucleotides) under Hevea brasiliensis (rubber tree). Lineage: Eukaryota; Viridiplantae; Streptophyta; Magnoliopsida; Malpighiales; Euphorbiaceae. The record is from RNAcentral.